CCUACGGGUGGCAGCAGUCGGGAAUAUUGCGCAAUGGAGGAAACUCUGACGCAGUGACGCCGCGUAUAGGAAGAAGGUUUUCGGAUUGUAAACUUUUGUCGUUAGUGAAGAGUAAUGACAGUACCUAAGGAGGAAGCUCCGGCUAACUACGUGCCAGCAGCCGCGGUAAUACGUAGGGAGCGAGCGUUAUCCGGAAUUAUUGGGUGUAAAGGGUGCGUAGACGGGAAGGCAAGUUAGCUGUGAAAUCCCUGGGCUUAACUGAGGGACUGCAAUUAAAACUACUUUUCUUGAGUGCAGGAGAGGUAAGUGGAAUUCCUAGUGUAGCGGUGAAAUGCGUAGAUAUUAGGAGGAACACCAGUGGCGAAGGCGACUUACUGGACUGUAACUGACGUUGAGGCACGAAAGUGUGGGGAGCAAACAGGAUUAGAUACCCCAGUAGUC
RNAcentral lists this ribosomal RNA (441 nucleotides) under uncultured bacterium. RNAcentral describes it as "partial 16S ribosomal RNA". It matches the Rfam family "Bacterial small subunit ribosomal RNA", at positions 338 to 795 of the family's 1533-position model. The record is from RNAcentral.